This 345-nucleotide unclassified non-coding RNA is filed under the name soil metagenome. RNAcentral's name for it is "partial contains 5.8S ribosomal RNA, internal transcribed spacer 2, and large subunit ribosomal RNA". The stretch from base 1 to 119 matches the Rfam family "5.8S ribosomal RNA", at positions 35 to 154 of the family's 154-position model. The record is from RNAcentral.
GAUGAAGAACGCAGCGAAAUGCGAUAAGUAAUGUGAAUUGCAGACACCGUGAAUCAUCGAAUCUUUGAACGCACAUUGCGCCCUUUGGUAUUCCGAAGGGCAUGCCUGUUCGAGCGUCAUUGCUGCCCUCAAGCACGGCUUGUGUGUUGGGCCCCGUCCUCCGAUCCCGGGGGACGGGCCCGAAAGGCAGCGGCGGCACCGCGUCCGGUCCUCGAGCGUAUGGGGCUUUGUCACCCACUCUGUAGGCCCGGCCGGCGCUUGCCGAUCAACCCAAAUUUUUAUCCAGGUUGACCUCGGAUCAGGUAGGGAUACCCGCUGAACUUAAGCAUAUCAAUAAGCGGAGGA